AUAUCCGUUAUGGAAAAUUCAACAUUAAUAUUAUAAUAUAUAUUUUUGUAAUAUUAUAAAAAUAGUGUGCAAUUUUUCCAUAUAAGGACAUUGUAAUCUGUUAGUGUAAUAUAAAUAUUUAUUAAAAGAUCUAAUUAAAGAGUUUAUUCAAAUUAGUUAUUUUCGAAUUUCUAACAUAGAAUAAAUUGAUUAGAUUUAAUAAAUCAUUGACAGUUUUAUUUGUAUAUAGUGCUUAAAUUCUUUAUUGAAUUUUACAAUGAUUGUUUUUUUUUUUAUAUAAAAUUUUCAAUUGUUUGCACUUAUAUGAUUAACAAUGCUAUAAAUUCAGGAUACCUUCGGGACCCGUCUUGAAACACGGACCAAGGAGUCUAACAUAUGUGCAAGUCAUUGGGUAUUUAUAAUAAAACCCAAUGGCAUAAUUAACUUAACUGUUUUUUUUUUUUUUAAAUUUGGGAUUAGUUUAAAUUUUAUUAUGAAAUAUAAAUUCAAUCCCGGGGCGUUCUAUAUAGUUAUGUAUAAUAGUAUUUAUAUUAUUUAUGCCUCUAACUAGA
This 551-nucleotide ribosomal RNA is filed under the name Platynochaetus macquarti. Its description in RNAcentral is "partial 28S ribosomal RNA". The record is from RNAcentral. Lineage: Eukaryota; Metazoa; Arthropoda; Insecta; Diptera; Syrphidae.